Non-coding RNA from Schistosoma margrebowiei, 45 nucleotides. Lineage: Eukaryota; Metazoa; Platyhelminthes; Trematoda; Strigeidida; Schistosomatidae. The record is from Rfam.
ACCCAGCUGACGAGUCCCAAAUAAAACGAAACGUGCAUCCUGGAU